This 256-nucleotide ribosomal RNA is filed under the name uncultured bacterium. Its description in RNAcentral is "partial 16S ribosomal RNA". It matches the Rfam family "Bacterial small subunit ribosomal RNA", at positions 524 to 776 of the family's 1533-position model. The record is from RNAcentral.
UACGUAGGGCGCAAGCGUUUGUCCGGAAUUAUUGGGCGUAAAGAGCUCGUAGGCGGCUUGUCACGUCGGGUGUGAAAGCCCGGGGCUUAACCCCGGGUCUGCAUUCGAUACGGGCAGGCUAGAGUGUGGUAGGGGAGAUCGGAAUUCCUGGUGUAGCGGUGAAAUGCGCAGAUAUCAGGAGGAACACCGGUGGCGAAGGCGGAUCUCUGGGCCAUUACUGACGCUGGGGGAGCGAAAAGCGUGGGGAGCGAACAGG